This 58-nucleotide transfer RNA is filed under the name Hyosciurus heinrichi (montane long-nosed squirrel). Its description in RNAcentral is "tRNA-Ser". The record is from RNAcentral. Lineage: Eukaryota; Metazoa; Chordata; Mammalia; Rodentia; Sciuridae.
AGAAAGUAAUGCAAGAACUGCUAACUCAUGCUCCCGUGCCUAACCCCACGGCUUUCUU